GGAGACAACGUGGGUCAAGUGACAACAGCGAAGCGCGCGGGGGCAGCCUGGGUCUGGCAACCAAGGGCCUGGGGCUCACAGGCCAUCAGGGGAGCACGGGAAGGGCUAUCUGGCUGUCCACAGUCCAGGGAGGAAGAUCAACCAUGGAUGCGUCAUUCACCCACUGCCUAGACAAGAACUUGGCACCAUCCUUGACUCUUCCCUUAAAGCCUGACUCAGCUGCUCCCGUGCCAGGGGCUGACCCACAGCUGUGACCACACUUCCCAGAGCAGAGCCGUGGAGGCGUCAAGUGUCGAGAGUCGAGAGUGCGCGAAAGAAAACAGUACAGCUUACCCGAGAGAAUAAAAAAG
Zalophus californianus (California sea lion) is the source of this 350-nucleotide long non-coding RNA. RefSeq lists it as uncharacterized. NCBI's taxonomy places the organism in Eukaryota, Metazoa, Chordata, Mammalia, Carnivora, Otariidae. The transcript is spliced from 3 exons. The record is from RefSeq and is a predicted model, not a curated record.